AACAGGAUUAGAUACCCUGGUAGUCCAUGCCGUAAACGAUGUCUACUAGCCGUUGGGGCCUUUGAGGCUUUAGUGGCGCAGCUAACGCGAUAAGUAGACCGCCUGGGGAGUACGGUCGCAAGACUAAAACUCAAAUGAAUUGACGGGGGCCCGCACAAGCGGUGGAGCAUGUGGUUUAAUUCGAUGCAACGCGAAGAACCUUACCUGGCCUUGACAUACUAAGAACUUUCCAGAGAUGGAUUGGUGCCUUCGGGAACUUAGAUACAGGUGCUGCAUGGCUGUCGUCAGCUCGUGUCGUGAGAUGUUGGGUUAAGUCCCGCAACGAGCGCAACCCUUUUCCUUAUUUGCCAGCGGGUCAUGCCGGGAACUUUAAGGAUACUGCCAGUGACAAACUGGAGGAAGGCGGGGACGACGUCAAGUCAUCAUGGCCCUUACGGCCAGGGCUACACACGUGCUACAAUGGUCGGUACAAAGGGUUGCUACCUCGCGAGAGGAUGCUAAUCUCAAAAAGCCGAUCGUAGUCCGGAUCGCAGUCUGCAACUCGACUGCGUGAAGUCGGAAUCGCUAGUAAUCGCGGAUCAGAAUGCCGCGGUGAAUACGUUCCCGGGCCUUGUACACACCGCCCGUCACACCAUGGGAGUUUGUUGCACCAGAAGUAGGUAGUCUAACCGCAAGGAGGACGCUUACCACGGUGUGGCCGAUGACUGGGGUGAAGUCGUAACAAGGUAACC
This 731-nucleotide ribosomal RNA is filed under the name uncultured bacterium. RNAcentral's name for it is "bacterial SSU rRNA". It matches the Rfam family "Bacterial small subunit ribosomal RNA", at positions 771 to 1501 of the family's 1533-position model. The record is from RNAcentral.